AAUUGACUCUCAGUUCCUCAGGCUGUACAGGAAACAUGGCUUGGGAGGCCUCAGGAAACUUACAAUCAUGGUGGAAGGCAAAAGGGAAGCCGGCAUGUCUUACAUGGCAGGAGCGGGAGGAAGAGAUAGUGAAGGGGGAAGUGCUACACCCUUUUAAACAACCAGAUCUCGUGAGAACUGACUCACUAUCGCAAGAACAGCAACGGGAAUGUCUGCCCCCAUGAUCCAAUCACCUCCCACCCGAUCCCUCCCCCAACGUUGGGUCUUACAAUUUAACAUGAGAUUUGGGUGGAGAAACAGAGCCAAACCACAUGAAGAGCAGACCUACAUUUAAGGAGUGGGGUGAGUGGAAGGAGAGACCUCAUAAAAUCAACUGCCAAGUAAGGGGUUCUUUUUUGUACCUAAACUCUGGAUAAAUAUUUACUUAGAAUUAAAGACUGAGACAGCCAUGUGCAAAGAUCAUUUUGCCCUUUGAAAAGGCAUGCAGGAGAGAAAUUGCCUUUUGUGAUCAUUUCCGUACAAGUUCCGCAUGGUUCAGGAAACUUACAAUCAUGGCAAAGGCACCUCUUUACAGGGCGGCAGGAGAGCGAUGUGCUGAGCAAAGGGAGAAAAGCCUCUUACAAAACCAUCCACUGUCACAAGAACAGCAUGGGGGUAACCGCCCUCAUGAUUCAAUUACCUCCCACCGGGUCCUCUCACAAGAGCUCUCAGAACUCCAUCUACCUGCUGCAUGACCAAGUAUAAGCUAAUAUGCUGGAUAAUGGGAGACUACAUGGAACAGAGGGAAUGAACUCCUUCUACAGCCAUCCUUGAUCAGCCAGUGCUCAACCAACCUGGCACCUGCCUGCAGAAGCAUCAUGAGCUUAGCCAAGAUGAGAAAAACUGCCCUGCCUGAGCCCAGCCCCAAGUGUCUGCGUGUUCUUCUGUUUUUAGCCACUAUAUUUUUUGGUGGUUUGUGGCAUAAAAAAAUGCAAACUGAUUGUUAUAGUUAACUGUAUGUGUCAACUUGGUUAUGUUACGGUACUUAAAUAUUUAGUCAAACAUUAUUCUAGAUGUUUCUGUGAAGAUUUUUUAAGGUGAGAUUAACAUUUAAACCAGUAGACUUUAAGUAAAGCAUAUGACCCUCCAUAAUGUGGGUGAGCCUCAUCCAAUCAGUUGAAGGCCUUUGUAGAGAAACACUGAACUCUUUGAGCAAGAAAAAAAUUCUACCAGUGAACAGCCUUUGGACUUGAACUGCAAGGCUUCUUUAGGUCUCCAGCCCACCAGCCUGCCCUGCAGAUUGUGUACCUGCCAGCCCCCACAAUUGUUAGCCAGUUCUUUAAAAUAUAUGCCCCCACCACACACUUAUCUAUCUACCUACCUACCUGUCUACCCUGUUGGUUGUGUUUCUCUGGAGUCCUCUGACUAAUAUACUAAUUUACUUACUAAUUCUUACUUUUGUUAUUUUCUUUAAUAGAAAAGAUAGGCAAAACAGUUAAUUUAUUUCAUUACAAUUAGGCAAGGCUCCUUUUUAUGCCCAAUUUCUUUCAUUUUCCAACUGCCUCCCACCCCUUAGUGACCUGAACCAUGACUAACUUUUUGUAUCACAGGGAUCAGGAAAAUGGUGUUGCCCUUGGUAAAUAUUGAUCACCUUCUCCCUCUUUCCGAAGCCCAAAAUGGCAAGAGAGUGAUGGGCCACAUCAGCUUGCAUGUAUGUUUGUUUCCCGUGCCCCUCAUCAAGAAUAUUGCCUGCAAAAGAAAUGCUCAUUACCCUCAGAGGGGUUGUAGUCUAUAACGGAAUGAUUAUCGUUGGUAUGGAUAUUUAAUUGGCAAUUAUUAUGGCCAAAAUCUUUCUUUCUUCCUUUUCUUUUUUCAGAAGUAGGUUCUUGCUAUGUUGACCAGGCUGGUGUGCAGUGGUGCAAUCAUAGCUUAUUGCAUCCUUAAACUCCUGGGCUCAAGCAAUUCUCUUGGCUCAGCCUCCCAAGUAGUUGGGACCACAAGUGCAUGCCACCACACCCAGCUAAUUUUAACCUUUUUUUUUUUUUUUUUUUUUUUUGCAUAGACAGGGUCUCACUAUGUUGACCAGGCAGGUCUGGAAUUCCUGGCCUCAAGAAAUCCUUCUGCUUCAGCCUCCCAAAGUGCUGAAAUUACAGGUGUGAGCUACUACCCCCAGCCCAGGACCAAAAUAUUUCUAAUGCAUCAGUUUGUUUCUCUAUUUAAAAGGGAAAUAAUUAUUUAUAAUAAUUAUCCGAUCAUUGCAUAUAUUUAUUUUAAACCAUCCAGUGACUUUGCAUAAUGGACAAUAAAAAAUCUGCAGUCUAUAGCAUCUUAUAUUGAAACACUUUGAACAGUCAACUAUGAAACAGGAAUAAUUGCACACAUAUGUGCUUUCUCUUACUCUUUGUAUUUACUUAUGCACACACCUAUUGGCAAAAGGUUUAUUCUAAGCAGAAAUCUGG
This 2438-nucleotide long non-coding RNA is filed under the name Homo sapiens (human). Its description in RNAcentral is "HSALNT0036817". The record is from RNAcentral. Lineage: Eukaryota; Metazoa; Chordata; Mammalia; Primates; Hominidae.